This 253-nucleotide ribosomal RNA is filed under the name uncultured bacterium. RNAcentral describes it as "partial 16S ribosomal RNA". It matches the Rfam family "Bacterial small subunit ribosomal RNA", at positions 524 to 776 of the family's 1533-position model. The record is from RNAcentral.
UACGAAGGGGGCUAGCGUUGCUCGGAAUCACUGGGCGUAAAGCGCACGUAGGCGGCUUUCUAAGUCAGGGGUGAAAUCCUGGAGCUCAACUCCAGAACUGCCUUUGAUACUGGGAAGCUUGAGUCCGGAAGAGGUGAGUGGAACUCCGAGUGUAGAGGUGAAAUUCGUAGAUAUUCGCAAGAACACCAGUGGCGAAGGCGGCUCACUGGCCCGGUACUGACGCUGAGGUGCGAAAGCGUGGGGAGCAAACAGG